CCCUUAGAUGUUCUGGGCCGCACGCGCGCUACACUGAUGCAUUCAACGAGCCUAUCCUUGACCGACAGGUCCGGGUAAUCUUUGAAUCUGCAUCGUGACGGGGAUAGAUUAUUGCAAUUAUUAAUCUUCAACGAGGAAUGCCUAGUAGGCGCAAGUCAUCAGCUUGCGUCGAUUACGUCCCUGCCCUUUGUACACACCGCCCGUCGCUCCUACCGAUUGGGUGUGCUGGUGAAAUGUUCGGAUCGGCCGUUUGUCGCGGUUUCCGCGUCAUGUGGCUGAGAAGUUCAUUAAACCCUCCCACCUAGAGGAAGGAGAANUCGUANCA
RNAcentral lists this ribosomal RNA (325 nucleotides) under uncultured eukaryote. RNAcentral describes it as "partial 18S ribosomal RNA". It matches the Rfam family "Eukaryotic small subunit ribosomal RNA", at positions 1470 to 1796 of the family's 1831-position model. The record is from RNAcentral.